CGCGGGGUGGAGCAGCUCGGUAGCUCGCUGGGCUCAUAACCCAGAGGUCGCAGGUUCAAUCCUGUCCCCGCUA
Molecule: transfer RNA, 73 nt
Filed under: Rhodococcus baikonurensis
Lineage: Bacteria; Bacillati; Actinomycetota; Actinomycetes; Mycobacteriales; Nocardiaceae
Also listed under: 1 other name
Description: tRNA-Met
Rfam family: tRNA
About the family: Transfer RNA (tRNA) molecules are approximately 80 nucleotides in length.
Source: RNAcentral